RNAcentral lists this ribosomal RNA (301 nucleotides) under uncultured bacterium. Its description in RNAcentral is "partial 16S ribosomal RNA". It matches the Rfam family "Bacterial small subunit ribosomal RNA", at positions 509 to 807 of the family's 1533-position model. The record is from RNAcentral.
CAGUCGCCACGGUAAAACGUAGGGUGCAAGCGUUAAUCGGAAUUACUGGGCGUAAAGCGUACGCAAGCGGUUUGUUAAGUCAGAUGUGAAAUCCCCGAGCUUAACUCGGGAACUGCAUUUGAAACUGGCAGGCUAGAGUCUCGUAGAGGGGGGUAGAAUUCCAGGUGUAGCGGUGAAAUGCGUAGAGAUCUGGAGGAAUACCGGUGGCGAAGGCGGCCCCCUGGACGAAGGCUGACGCUCAGGUACGAAAGCGUGGGGAGCAAACAGGAUUAGAUACCCCGGUAGUCCCUGUCUCUUAUAC